GUUUGAAUGAUGUUACUAUUAAGUCGGAUACCCCUUCACUCAUUCUGAGUGACAAACCGAAUCUGACAAGC
Molecule: small nucleolar RNA, 71 nt
Organism: Pseudophryne corroboree (corroboree frog)
Lineage: Eukaryota; Metazoa; Chordata; Amphibia; Anura; Myobatrachidae
Product: small nucleolar RNA SNORD101
Exons: 1
Source: RefSeq, a predicted model, not a curated record